This 53-nucleotide ribosomal RNA is filed under the name Laceyella sacchari. Its description in RNAcentral is "partial 16S ribosomal RNA". The record is from RNAcentral. Lineage: Bacteria; Bacillati; Bacillota; Bacilli; Caryophanales; Thermoactinomycetaceae.
CUUUAACGGAGAGUUUGAUCCUGGCUCAGGAUGAACGCUGGCGGCAUGCCUAA